CCCGCCGUAGUUCAACGGAUAGAACAGGCGCCUCCUAAGCGCCAGAUACAGGUUCGAUUCCUGUCGGAGGGACCA
This 75-nucleotide transfer RNA is filed under the name Burkholderiales bacterium. RNAcentral's name for it is "tRNA-Arg". It matches the Rfam family "tRNA". From Rfam's summary of the family: Transfer RNA (tRNA) molecules are approximately 80 nucleotides in length. Lineage: Bacteria; Pseudomonadati; Pseudomonadota; Betaproteobacteria; Burkholderiales. The record is from RNAcentral.